AGUGGCGGACGGGUGAGUAACACGUAGGAAAUCUGCCUCAAUGAAGGGGACAACAGCUGGAAACAGCUGCUAAUACCCUAUAUGUCAUAAUCUGAAAUGGUUAUGAUGAAAGUUCCGGCGCCUUGAGAUGAGCCUGCGUCUGAUUAGCUAGUUGGUGGGGUAAAUGCCCACCCAAGGCGACGAUCAGUAGCUGGUUUGAGAGGAUGACCAGCCACCAUGGGACUGAGACACGGCCCAUACUCCUACGGGAGGCAGCAGUAGGGAAUUUUGCGCAAUGGACGAAAGUCUGACGCAGCAACACCGCGUGAGCGACGAAGCCCCUUGGGGUGUAAAGCUCUGUCAGUGGGGACGAAACCUGACGGUACCCACAGAGGAAGCAUCGGCUAACUACGUGCCAGCAGCCGCGGUAAGACGUAGGAUGCGAGCGUUGUCCGGAAUUAUUGGGCGUAAAGAGUUCGUAGGUGGCAUGUCAAGUCUGGUGUUAAAGCUCGGGGCUCAACUCCGAAUCGGCACUGGAUACUGACAAGCUAGAGUGCAGUAGAGGCAAUGGGAAUUCCCAGUGUAGCGGUGAAAUGCGUAGAUAUUGGGAGGAACACCCAGUGGCGUAAGCGCCUUGCUGGGCUGUAACUGACGGUGAGGAACGAAAGCCGGGGGAGCAAAUGGGAUUAGAUACCCCAGUAGUCCCGGCCGUAAACGAUGGAUAAUAGGUGUUGCGAGUAUCGACCCUUGCAGUGCCGUAGUUAACGCGAUAAGCAUCCCGCCUGGGGAGUACGCACGCAAGGGUGAAACUCAAAGGAAUUGACGGGGGCCCGCACAAGCGGUGGAACAUGUGGUUUAAUUCGAAGCAACGCGAAGAACCUUACCAGGGCUUGACAUCCCAAGAACCUUGUGGAAACACGAGGGUGCCUUCGGGAACUUGGAGACAGGUGGUGCAUGGUUGUCGUCAGCUCGUGUCGUGAGAUGUUGGGUUAAGUCCCGCAACGAGCGCAACCCUCGUUGUUAGUUGCUGUAUGGAAGCACGCUUUUAUACAGCUCUCUAGCAAGACUGCCGGUGAUAAACCGGAGGAAGGUGGGGAUGACGUCAAAUCAUCAUGCCCCUUAUGCUCUGGGCUACACACGUGUUACAAUGGGUGAGACAACGAGCAGCCAACUGGCAACAGUGAGCAAAUCUCUUUAACUUAUCCUAAGUUCGGAUUGGAGUCUGCAACUCGACUCCAUGAAGUCGGAAUCGCUAGUAACCGUAGAUCAGCAUGCUCCGGUGAAUACGUUCCCGGGCAUUGUACACACCGCCCGUCACACCAUGGAAGUGACCACGCCCGAAGUCAGUGUGCUAA
Molecule: ribosomal RNA, 1334 nt
Filed under: uncultured organism
Description: 16S ribosomal RNA
Rfam family: Bacterial small subunit ribosomal RNA
Source: RNAcentral